CCUACGGGAGGCAGCAGUGAGGAAUCUUCCACAAUGGGCGAAAGCCUGAUGGAGCAACGCCGCGUGCAGGAUGAAGGCCCUCGGGUCGUAAACUGCUUUUAUAAGUGAAGAAUAUGACGGUAACUUAUGAAUAAGCACCGGCUAACUACGUGCCAGCAGCCGCGGUAAU
This 169-nucleotide ribosomal RNA is filed under the name uncultured bacterium. RNAcentral's name for it is "partial 16S ribosomal RNA". It matches the Rfam family "Bacterial small subunit ribosomal RNA", at positions 338 to 524 of the family's 1533-position model. The record is from RNAcentral.